UGGAGUGUAGCCAAGUGGAAAGGCACCCGUUUUUGGUGCGGGCAUUCAAAGGUUCGAACCCUUUCAUUCCAGA
RNAcentral lists this transfer RNA (73 nucleotides) under Aureococcus anophagefferens. RNAcentral describes it as "tRNA-Gln". It matches the Rfam family "tRNA". Rfam says of the family: Transfer RNA (tRNA) molecules are approximately 80 nucleotides in length. Their secondary structure includes four short double-helical elements and three loops (D, anti-codon, and T loops). Further hydrogen bonds mediate the characteristic L-shaped molecular structure. tRNAs have two regions of fundamental functional importance: the anti-codon, which is responsible for specific mRNA codon recognition, and the 3' end, to which the tRNAs corresponding amino acid is attached (by aminoacyl-tRNA synthetases). tRNAs cope with the degeneracy of the genetic code in two manners: having more than one tRNA (with a specific anti-codon) for a particular amino acid; and 'wobble' base-pairing, i.e. permitting non-standard base-pairing at the 3rd anti-codon position. Lineage: Eukaryota; Pelagophyceae; Pelagomonadales; Pelagomonadaceae. The record is from RNAcentral.